This 753-nucleotide long non-coding RNA is filed under the name Mytilus galloprovincialis (Mediterranean mussel). Lineage: Eukaryota; Metazoa; Mollusca; Bivalvia; Mytilida; Mytilidae. The record is from RNAcentral.
CGGCUAGUUUGCACACAUACUUAAACGUUAAAUCUAUUGACGAAUAUUUCAGUUUUGUAAUAUUAGUUUUCCUUAUCCGUUAAGUCCAGUCACGAGAUGUUGAACUCCGUGUGCUUCAUGAAGCUCUCUCUGCAAAAACUUUCUUGUGUGUGAGAAUGAAAGUUAAACACUACAAACAAAGAACCAGUGAGUCACGUGUCAUAAUUGACACACAAUUUACCAAUGAAAUCAAACAAAAUCGAUAGAUAAUAUCAUUCCAUCGACGAGAUGUCGCCCUUCCUCCGAUCAACGGGGUUUAUCAGCAGUUAAAUGUGACAAUUAUCACCUUUUACAGAAAGAUCUGGUCCGAAAAGAUCAAUAGAAGACCACCGCUAGUAUCAAUAUCCAUCAAUAUAAGGCACAAACAAUUAUCAUUUCUUUAUGAUUAAUAACAUCAUACAUUGUCUUAAAACAAUGCUCCCGUUGUCAUUUGAUUGUGUUGUUUUUAAAUACGCAAAACUAAAAUAAGUUAUCGAACUAUCAGUCAUUCGAUAUCUCAUUUAUCGCCUAUUCCAUCCUAAAAUUUUACAGCUCCCAUAUGUACUUUGACAGGAAUCGUAUUUUUUCUGUCAUGAUCAAAUAAGUUUUUAUUUUUUUUAUUUUUUAUUUUUUCUGCAAUAAUUACAUUUAACAUACUUUGCAUACUUUUUAAUUGAAAUAACAUUGAAACAAGAAUCGAUGUGACAAAGUCAUUUUGUUUUAACAUAAUUCAAG